Molecule: ribosomal RNA, 435 nt
Filed under: uncultured bacterium
Lineage: Bacteria
Description: bacterial SSU rRNA
Rfam family: Bacterial small subunit ribosomal RNA
Source: RNAcentral
GCAAAACGCGAAGAACCUUACCAGGGCUUAAAUGUAGUCUGACAGGCGUGGAAACAUGCUUUUCUUCGGACAGAUUACAAGGUGCUGCAUGGUUGUCGUCAGCUCGUGCCGUGAGGUGUCAGGUUAAGUCCUAUAACGAGCGCAACCCCUGUUGUUAGUUGCCAGCGAGUAAUGUCGGGAACUCUAGCAAGACUGCCGGUGCAAACCGCGAGGAAGGUGGGGAUGACGUCAAAUCAUCACGGCCCUUACGUCCUGGGCCACACACGUGCUACAAUGGCCAGUACAGAGAGCAGCCACUUGGCGACAAGGAGCGAAUCUAUAAAGCUGGUCACAGUUCGGAUUGGAGUCUGCAACUCGACUCUAUGAAGCUGGAAUCGCUAGUAAUCGGAUAUCAGCCAUGAUCCGGUGAAUACGUUCCGGGUCUUGUACACACCG